UCGUCGUGUCGACGACCACCUCAGAGUCCGCAACCAGGUCGGUCCCCUCGAACAGCUUCACCCUGAGGAACCGGACCACCAGAGACAGACCAGGAAACUGUAACCAAACUGAGCUCAAGCUGACCUGAAGUCUGGACAAACAGAUCUGCUGGUCCAGACCCUCCAGACUGUGUGCUGGACCAGCAGCACCAGGAGGAACUAGUUCUGUCAGUCAGACAGAACCAGGUUUGGUUCUGGACCUCAACAGGUCUCUGUGGCUCUGGGUCUGAUCUGCAUAUCAACAGGACAGAUUCCUGCCAAGGCUGCUGUCGCCAUGGAGACGAGUACAAUGGAGGACCGGACCGGACCGGACCGGACCAGACGAGUCUGAGAGAGAAGGAAUGUGUGAGAGACAAAAAACAAACAAGUGGACAA
Molecule: long non-coding RNA, 414 nt
Organism: Austrofundulus limnaeus
Lineage: Eukaryota; Metazoa; Chordata; Actinopteri; Cyprinodontiformes; Rivulidae
Exons: 2
Source: RefSeq, a predicted model, not a curated record